CCUACGGGUGGCAGCAGUGGGGAAUAUUGCACAAUGGGGGCAACCCUGAUGCAGCGACGCCGCGUGAGCGAAGAAGUAUUUCGGUAUGUAAAGCUCUAUCAGCAGGGAAGAAAAUGAUGGUACUUGAGUAAGAAGCUCCGGCUAAAUACUGGCCAGCAGCCGCGGUAAUACGUAGGGAGCAACCGUUAACCGGAUUUACUGGGCGUAAGGGUAGCGGAGGCGGCUUGCCAAGUCUGAUGUGAAAUACCGGGGCUCAACCCCGGGGCUGCAUUGGAAACUGAGAGACUGGAGUGCCGGAGAGGCAGGCGGAAUUCCUAGUGUAGCGGUGAAAUGCGUAGAUAUGAGGAGGAACACCAGUGGCGAAGGCGGCCUGCUGGACGGUGACUGACGCUGAGGCUCGAAAGCGUGGGGAGCAAACAGGAUUAGAUACCCUUGUAGUC
Molecule: ribosomal RNA, 440 nt
Filed under: uncultured bacterium
Lineage: Bacteria
Description: partial 16S ribosomal RNA
Rfam family: Bacterial small subunit ribosomal RNA
Source: RNAcentral